RNAcentral lists this ribosomal RNA (302 nucleotides) under uncultured bacterium. Its description in RNAcentral is "partial 16S ribosomal RNA". It matches the Rfam family "Bacterial small subunit ribosomal RNA", at positions 508 to 807 of the family's 1533-position model. The record is from RNAcentral.
GCAGUAGCCGCGGGAAUACGAAGGGGGCUAGCGUUGUUCGGAUUUACUGGGCGUAAAGCGCACGUAGGCGGAUCGAUCAGUCAGGGGUGAAAUCCCAGAGCUCAACUCUGGAACUGCCUUUGAUACUGUCGAUCUGGAGUAUGGAAGAGGUGAGUGGAAUUCCGAGUGUAGAGGUGAAAUUCGUAGAUAUUCGGAGGAACACCAGUGGCGAAGGCGGCUCACUGGUCCAUUACUGACGCUGAGGUGCGAAAGCGUGGGGAGCAAACAGGAUUAGAUACCCGCGUAGUCCCUGUCUCUUAUAC